This 100-nucleotide non-coding RNA is filed under the name bovine gut metagenome. Its description in RNAcentral is "TPP riboswitch (THI element)". The stretch from base 5 to 89 matches the Rfam family "TPP riboswitch aptamer (THI element)", at positions 10 to 89 of the family's 105-position model. Rfam says of the family: Vitamin B(1) in its active form thiamin pyrophosphate (TPP) is an essential coenzyme that is synthesised by coupling of pyrimidine and thiazole moieties in bacteria. The previously detected thiamin-regulatory element, thi box was extended, resulting in a new, highly conserved RNA secondary structure, the THI element, which is widely distributed in eubacteria and also occurs in some archaea. The record is from RNAcentral.
GACCACGGGGUGCUUGCAAGAGCAGGCUGAGAGUCGGCUGAUUUGUCGUAACCCGCAUAACCUGAUUUGGAUAAUGCCAACGAAGGGAUCAUCAGAAAAA